Molecule: ribosomal RNA, 301 nt
Filed under: uncultured bacterium
Lineage: Bacteria
Description: partial 16S ribosomal RNA
Rfam family: Bacterial small subunit ribosomal RNA
Source: RNAcentral
CAGCAGCCACGGGAAUACGUAGGUGGCAAGCGUUGUCCGGAAUUAUUGGGCGUAAAGGGCUCGCAGGCGGUUUCUUAAGUCCGAUGUGAAAGCCCCCGGCUCAACCGGGGAGGGUCAUUGGAAACUGGGAAACUUGAGUGCAGAAGAGGAGAGUGGAAUUCCACGUGUAGCGGUGAAAUGCGUAGAGAUGUGGAGGAACACCAGUGGCGAAGGCGACUCUCUGGUCUGUAACUGACGCUGAGGAGCGAAAGCGUAGGGAGCGAACAGGAUUAGAUACCCCCGUAGUCCCUGUCUCUUAUAC